CAUGGUUUUGAUUUGAAAGGCGCUUUCGGGUGUCGCUGAUGGAUGGACCCGCGGUGCAUUAGCUAGUUGGUGAGGUAACGGCUCACCAAGGCCACGAUGCAUAGCCGACCUGAGAGGGUGAUCGGCCACAUUGGGACUGAGACACGGCCCAAACUUAUACGGGAGGCAGCAGUAGGGAAUCUUCGGCAAUGGACGAAAGUCUGACCGAGCAACGCCGCGUGAGUGAAGAAGGUUUUCGGAUCGUAAAACUCUGUUGUUAGAGAAGAACAAGGAUGAGAGUAACUGUUCAUCCCUUGACGGUAUCUAACCAGAAAGCCACGGCUAACUACGUGCCAGCAGCCGCGGUAAUACGUAGGUGGCAAGCGUUGUCCGGAUUUAUUGGGCGUAAAGCGAGCGCAGGCGGUUUCUUAAGUCUGAUGUGAAAGCCCCCGGCUCAACCGGGGAGGGUCAUUGGAAACUGGGAGACUUGAGUGAGAAAGAGGAGAGUGGAAUUCCAUGUGUAGCGGUGAAAUGCGUAGAUAUAUGGAGGAACACCAGUGGCGAAGGCGGCUCUCUGGUCUGUAACUGACGCUGAGGCUCGAAAGCGUGGGGAGCAAACAGGAUUAGAUACCCUGGUAGUCCACGCCGUAAACG
RNAcentral lists this ribosomal RNA (633 nucleotides) under Enterococcus sp. A02_9. RNAcentral describes it as "bacterial SSU rRNA". It matches the Rfam family "Bacterial small subunit ribosomal RNA", at positions 188 to 808 of the family's 1533-position model. The record is from RNAcentral. Lineage: Bacteria; Bacillati; Bacillota; Bacilli; Lactobacillales; Enterococcaceae.